This is a long non-coding RNA of Stegodyphus dumicola, 421 nucleotides long. The record is from RefSeq and is a predicted model, not a curated record. NCBI's taxonomy places the organism in Eukaryota, Metazoa, Arthropoda, Arachnida, Araneae, Eresidae.
AAAUGUGCCACUUGUAUCAAGAUAAUGAUUAUUUUUGAAGAAAUGAAUGUUUGAGUAUUCCAUUAAACACGGAACGCCCCUUACGCAUGCACGGGAGCUCUCAAGUGGGUCAUAUGAAAUUAUGAAAUGGGUCAUUCGGUGAUCCGCGGGUCAUAGGUUGCCGAGCCCUGUCUUAUACCCAUCUGACAAGAAAGGGAGUGUAAAAAGCUUUUACAUGAAAAACAAGUGCAAAAGCCAAAUUGUGCAUAUUCGGUUACCGACUUCUUCAGUCGACUCCUUGAUCGUCACUAGUCCUCUUUCAAGUUUCAUUGAUCCCCAGUCAAUAUCGACACCAUUGGGAACAAGUAGGGACGAAGAUAAAAGAAAAGUAAAAUUUUUUUUCAUUUGCGAACAGAAGACUGGUUCUACCGAGGAUGAUAUU